UACGAAGGGGGCUAGCGUUGCUCGGAAUCACUGGGCGUAAAGCGCACGUAGGCGGAUCUUUAAGUCAGGGGUGAAAUCCUGGAGCUCAACUCCAGAACUGCCUCUGAUACUGGGGAUCUUGAGUCCGGAAGAGGUAAGUGGAACCGCGAGUGUAGAGGUGAAAUUCGUAGAUAUUCGCAAGAACACCAGUGGCGAAGGCGGCUUACUGGUCCGGUACUGACGCUGAGGUGCGAAAGCGUGGGGAGCAAACAGG
This 253-nucleotide ribosomal RNA is filed under the name uncultured bacterium. Its description in RNAcentral is "partial 16S ribosomal RNA". It matches the Rfam family "Bacterial small subunit ribosomal RNA", at positions 524 to 776 of the family's 1533-position model. The record is from RNAcentral.